AAUAGAUACCCUGGUAGUCCACGCCGUAAACGAUGAGUGCUAAGUGUUAGAGGGUUUCCGCCCUUUAGUGCUGCAGCUAACGCAUUAAGCACUCCGCCUGGGGAGUACGGCCGCAAGGCUGAAACUCAAAGGAAUUGACGGGGGCCCGCACAAGCGGUGGAGCAUGUGGUUUAAUUCGAAGCAACGCGAAGAACCUUACCAGGUCUUGACAUCCUCUGCCAACCCUAGAGAUAGGGCGUUCCCCUUCGGGGGACAGAGUGACAGGUGGUGCAUGGUUGUCGUCAGCUCGUGUCGUGAGAUGUUGGGUUAAGUCCCGCAACGAGCGCAACCCUUGAUCUUAGUUGCCAGCAUUCAGUUGGGCACUCUAAGGUGACUGCCGGUGACAAACCGGAGGAAGGUGGGGAUGACGUCAAAUCAUCAUGCCCCUUAUGACCUGGGCUACACACGUGCUACAAUGGAUGGUACAAAGAGCUGCGAACCCGUGAGGGUAAGCGAAUCUCAUAAAGCCAUUCUCAGUUCGGAUUGU
RNAcentral lists this ribosomal RNA (526 nucleotides) under uncultured bacterium. RNAcentral's name for it is "bacterial SSU rRNA". It matches the Rfam family "Bacterial small subunit ribosomal RNA", at positions 777 to 1301 of the family's 1533-position model. The record is from RNAcentral.